GAUGAACGCUGGCGGCGUGCCUAAUACAUGCAAGUCGAGCGAACGGACGAGAAGCUUGCUUCUCUGAUGUUAGCGGCGGACGGGUGAGUAACACGUGGAUAACCUACCUAUAAGACUGGGAUAACUUCGGGAAACCGGAGCUAAUACCGGAUAAUAUUUUGAACCGCAUGGUUCAAAAGUGAAAGACGGCCUUGCUGUCACUUAUAGAUGGAUCCGCGCUGCAUUAGCUAGUUGUUAAGGUAACGGCUUACCAAGGCAACGAUGCAUAGCCGACCUGAGAGGGUGAUCGGCCACACUGGAACUGAGACACGGUCCAGACUCCUACGGGAGGCAGCAGUAGGGAAUCUUCCGCAAUGGGCGAAAGCCUGACGGAGCAACGCCGCGUGAGUGAUGAAGGUCUUCGGAUCGUAAAACUCUGUUAUUAGGGAAGAACAUAUGUGUAAGUAACUGUGCACAUCUUGACGGUACCUAAUCAGAAAGCCACGGCUAACUACGUG
Molecule: ribosomal RNA, 497 nt
Filed under: uncultured bacterium
Lineage: Bacteria
Description: partial 16S ribosomal RNA
Rfam family: Bacterial small subunit ribosomal RNA
Source: RNAcentral